RNAcentral lists this ribosomal RNA (443 nucleotides) under uncultured bacterium. Its description in RNAcentral is "partial 16S ribosomal RNA". It matches the Rfam family "Bacterial small subunit ribosomal RNA", at positions 338 to 795 of the family's 1533-position model. The record is from RNAcentral.
CCUACGGGGGGCAGCAGUGGGGAAUAUUGGGCAAUGGGCGCAAGCCUGACCCAGCAACGCCGCGUGAAGGAAGAAGGCUUUCGGGUUGUAAACUUCUUUUCUCAGGGACGAAGAAAGUGACGGUACCUGCUGAUUAAGCCACGGCUAACUACGUGCCAGCAGCCGCUGUAAUACGUAGGUGGCAAGCGUUAUCCGGAUUUAUUGGGUUUAAAGGUCGUGUAGGCGGGAGCGCAAGUCAGAUGUGAAAUCUCAGGGCUCAACCCUGAGCCUGCAUUUGAAACUGUGUUUCUUGAGUGCUGGAGAGGCAAUCGGAAUUCCGGGUGUAGCGGUGAAAUGCGUAGAUAUACGGAGGAACACCAGUGGCGAAGGCGGAUUGCUGGACAGUAACUGACGCUGAGGCGCGAAAGCGUGGGGAGCAAACAGGAUUAGAUACCCCAGUAGUC